GUCCAGACUCCUACGGGAGGCAGCAGUGAGGAAUAUUGGUCAAUGGACGCAAGUCUGAACCAGCCAAGUAGCGUGCAGGAUGACGGCCCUCCGGGUUGUAAACUGCUUUUAGUUGGGAAUAAAAGGGGGCUCGUGAGCCCCGUAUUGUAUGUACCAUCAGAAAAAGGACCGGCUAAUUCCGUGCCAGCAGCCGCGGUAAUACGGAAGGUCCGGGCGUUAUCCGGAUUUAUUGGGUUUAAAGGGUGCGCAGGCGGAAGAUCAAGUCAGGGGUAAAAUUGGGGGGCACAACCUCUUCGAGCCGUUGAAACUGGUUUUCUUGAGUGAGUGAGAAGUAUGCGGAAUGCGUGGUGUAGCGGUGAAAUGCAUAGAUAUCACGCAGAACUCCGAUUGCGAAGGCAGCAUACCGGCGCUCAACUGACGCUCAUGCACGAAAGUGUGGGUAUCGAACAGGAUUAGAUACCCGUGUAA
This 468-nucleotide ribosomal RNA is filed under the name uncultured bacterium. RNAcentral describes it as "bacterial SSU rRNA". It matches the Rfam family "Bacterial small subunit ribosomal RNA", at positions 329 to 793 of the family's 1533-position model. The record is from RNAcentral.